GCUAAAUCAAAUCGUUGCUAGAAAUUUUACUUUAGCUGCAUGUUUGUGUGUUAUGUUUUAUUACGGAGGAAAAGGAGUGAAACAGAAUAUGGCUUUAGUCGUAGGACCUCCAGUUUCUACCUGAUGGGUAGGGGUCAAAUACCAAACUGUGAGAGGGUCCCUCUCUGAAACAAGUUAGUAAUAGAAAUGCAAUUCAUUGCAGAGAACUUUUUUUUUUAAGAGAGGGAGAUUCCACUUCAAUAUCUAUUUUUAUUUUAUUGGAUAUUAUUUUAAUCUCCCCUCAAAAUGGUUCGCCCAGCAGGGCAGAGAGAUCAAGAGCAUCAUGGCGGCGAUCUGAGGCGGUAGCACUCACCCUCACUGGAAACAGCCUCUGAAACCUUCCCCCUCCCAGGACAAUGCUCUUAAUUAGCCGCACCAUAUUUCUCAGAGAACAAAAGCUCCCCACCCCUCACAGGAAAAGCUUUUCCAGGAGAUAUCUCGUUGGGGAAGCGCCAGGCACACAACAGGGAGAGGAGAACAGACAGGCUGUUCUGGGCUCUGCAAAGAGACGCAAACUCUGGAUUCCCGCGGGAGCUACAGAGAUACUGUUAUGAAUGUAGAAUGAAGUAUUGGUAGAUUUCUUCAAACUCACUGAUUUUCAUUUUCCCUGAGGAUGACAAGGAUAUUAUGAAAAUGACAAUAGAAAAAUUUCCAUAAGAAUACUUAAUAAAAAAUAAAAAACCUGAUGCUUAAAGACACUUCCAAUUAUCUGAAAAAUUGAUACUAUGUAACAGUGAGAGACUUUAUUUUUUGGGGCUCCAAAAUCACUGCAGGUGGUGACUGCGGCCAUGAAAUUAAAAGAUGCUUGCUCCUUGAAAGAAAAGUUAUGACAAACCUAGACAGCUUAUUAGAAAGCAGAGACAUUACUUUGCCAACAAAGGUCCAUCUAGUCAAAACUAUGGUUUUUCCAGUAGUCAUGUAUGGAUGUGAGAGUUGGAUUGUAAAGAAAGCUGAGUGCUGAAGAAUUGAUGCUUUUGAACUGUGGUGUUGGAGAAGAGUCUUGAGAGUCCCUUGGACUGCAAGGAGAACCAACCUGUCAAUCCUAAAGGAAAUCAGUCCUGAAUAUUCAUGGGAAGGACUGAUGCUGAAGCUGAAACUCCAAUACUUUGGCCACCUGAUUUGAAGAACUCUCAUUUGAAAAGACCUUGACGCUGGGAAAGAUUGAAGGUGGGAGGAGAAGGGGAUGACAGAGGAUGAGAUGGUUGGAUGGCAUCACUGACUCAACGGACAUGAGCUUGAGCAAGCUCCGGGAGCUGUUGAUGGACAGGGAAGCCUGGCGUGCUGCAGUCCGUGGGGUUGCAAAGAGUCAGAUACAACUGAGCAACUGAACUAAACUGGAAUACUCAUUCAACAAUUCAGUGAUAAGCGUGUAUUAGGUGCCUAAAAGUUGCAUUGUGCAAAGUACAAACAUAAAGGAGAUUAAGAAAUGGGUGUUCUUUCAAGGAGCUCAAUUAAACAUUGCUUGCUUUAUGUAAAUCAACUAUAAUUCAAUACAAAAUUGCUCACUUUAUAUCUUGUAUAAAUACUUAUGGGAACUUCCUUGGUGGCUCAGAUGGUAAAGAAUCUGCCUCCGAGGCAGGAGACCUGAUUCGAUCCCUGGGUCAGGAAAGUCCCCUGGAGAAGGAAAUGGCAACCCACUGCAGUAUUCUUGCCUGGGAAAUCCAUGGACAGAAGAGCCUGGCAGGCUACAGCCCAUGGGGUUGGAAAGAGUCAGACACAACUAAGUGACUCUUACUUCACUUGAUA
Molecule: long non-coding RNA, 1785 nt
Organism: Bos grunniens (domestic yak)
Lineage: Eukaryota; Metazoa; Chordata; Mammalia; Artiodactyla; Bovidae
Source: Ensembl